This 301-nucleotide ribosomal RNA is filed under the name uncultured bacterium. RNAcentral describes it as "partial 16S ribosomal RNA". It matches the Rfam family "Bacterial small subunit ribosomal RNA", at positions 509 to 807 of the family's 1533-position model. The record is from RNAcentral.
CAGUCGCCGCGGUAAUACGUAGGGUGCGAGCGUUAAUCGGAAUUACUGGGCGUAAAGCGUGCGCAGGCGGUUGUGUAAGACAGGUGUGAAAUCCCCGGGCUUAACCUGGGAACUGCGCUUGUGACUGCACAGCUAGAGUAUGGCAGAGGGGGGUGGAAUUCCGCGUGUAGCAGUGAAAUGCGUAGAUAUGCGGAGGAACACCGAUGGCGAAGGCAGCCCCCUGGGCCAACACUGACGCUCAUGCACGAAAGCGUGGGGAGCAAACAGGAUUAGAUACCCCCGUAGUCCCUGUCUCUUAUAC